CGGCACUGUAGCAAUUUCGUUUGUUUGUGACAAAUAUUAUCUAAUCAUGGACUAACUAGGAUCAAAAGAUUCGUCUCGUGAUUUACAGCCAAACUGUGUAAUUAGUUUUUGUUUUUGUCUAUAUUUAAUGUUUCAUACAUGUGCCACAAGAUUCGAUGUGACGGGAAAUCUUUUAAAGUGAACUAAACAAGGCCCACUAUGUCGCGCAGUCGGUGCUUCUCCCGUCCUUACAUUUAUUUCCAUGCUUGAUCAGUACAGUUAGCCGUUAACACUACACAGUACACAGCAGUUCAAGGUCUAUAAAUAUCGUGUCGCUGUCCUUCGGGUGACCCAUAAAUUCUCAACGACCCCGUAGAGUGCUUAAGGUCUUGUUUAGUUCUCAAAAUAUUUUGAAAAUUUUUUCAUAUUCUCCAUCACAUCGAAUCUUACGGUAUAUUUAUGGAACACUAAAUAUAAAUAAAAGAAAUAACUAAUUACACAGUUUACUUGUAAUUUGCGAGACGAAUCUUUUGAGCCUAAUUAGUCCAUAAUUAGACAAUAUUUAUUAAAUACAAAUGAAAGUGGUAUUAUUCAUAUUUUGCAAAAAUUUUAAAAGUAAACAAGGCCUAAGUUCCACAUCAUUUGAUGGCUGAACCACCAAUCGGUCUUUACUUACAGAUUGGUGCUUUUCACAAAUAGUAAAUGAUUUCAACGUUAGUGUUGUACUGUCAACAUAAAACAUACUUUAAGCGGCAAGAUGUUCACAACAUUCCUUUGGUAGCUAGGUUCGUCUACCGUUUUCACUAUACAUGAAUAAUUAGAAUAUAAUUCAGGUUUGAUGUUAAAUAUGGCAUGUUGCAACGAGAAAAAAAUAAUACCACAAUAAUGUAAGCAGUAUGAGUAUGUGUGUUGUAUUGUUAAUAAAGAGAACGAUACUAUGAUCAUGAAGUUGGCAACUUCACAUCUCUACUAUAAUUUACCUAACAAAAUUAUGCUUGGUCCACCUAAAAAAAUCACCCCCGUUGAGGCCUCAACCAUUGUGUACUCAAGAAAACGCACACAGGAUUUUGUCUCCAUCUAAAUCAACGUAUAAAAACCAACUAAGACCAAAUCUAAUGGCUGCAGAAGAAAGUUUGAAGCCCGCAUCAAACUCCCGGACCCCUCCCGCUCAACUUCUCCCUCACGCGACAAGACGACCUGGGUUCGAUCCCUCCUUCCUCCCUCAAAAAAAAGAAAAAAAAACUUUGACCCUGCGUCAUCCCCAAGCACAUCGCCUCCAACAACUCUCCUAACCCUAGCCUCCUCAAUUUCUAGAGCCCCGCAAGGUUGAGCCCACCAUGGCCCCCACCCGCUCCACCUCCGACCCACGCUCUGCAUGGUCCUCCUCCUUGCGGCCGCCACUCGACCUCCAGCCCAUGGUCCUGCCAGAGGACGACGAUGGCGACGAUGAUCGGGCAGUCACGGAGCUCCUCAACACAGCACUGGAGGGCGACCUCUCCCGCGUUAAGGGUAAGGCGCUCGAUUGGUUCCAACGCUCGUCAAUUCGCUAGGGUUUUGGUCUCGAAUCUGACGCGGGUUUCAGUCGCUAUGUGUUUUUGGUGGGGUUUUGUGGUGACGUGCAGAGCUGGUGGAGAAGCUGAACAAGGAGGGGAAGGGCGUGGAUGAUGUGGUGGCAGCCGCAGUCAUCAGCGUGACAAGUACAACACGCCGCGUGCCUCUCCAUCUCGCCGUUGCGAACGGGAACGCGGAGAUGAGCCGGUUUCCUGAUCGAGGUUGGUGAUGUCGAUGUCGAUGCGGCCGAUUGUGUUGGUAAUUGUUACGGUUACUGAUUCUAUUUCGUUUUGCCUUUCGUUAGAUUGGGUGUGAUGUGCUGUUGAAUCGUGCUGUUUCCAUGAGGUUUUGGGUUGGGUGCUGCUCAGGGUCGUGAGGGAGUCAGGGAGAUGCGUGCCGUGCCCGUGUGUUAGUGAGAAAUAAGAGGAACAUCAAGCUAUAGUCUCUAUUAUAAUUCACCUAACAAAAUUAUGCUUGGUCCACCAAAAAAACACCCCCGCUGAGGCCUCAACCAUUGUGUACUUAGGAAAAUGCACACAGGAUUUUGUCUCCAUCAAAAUCAACGUAACAAAACCAACCAAGACCAAAUCUAACGGCUGCAGGAGAAAGUUUGAAGCUCGCAUCGAACUCUUGAUCCCCUCCCGCUCUCCUUCUCCCUCACGCGACGAGACGACCUGGGUCCAUCCCUCCUUCCUCCCUCCAAAAAAAAGAAAAAAAUACUUCGACCCUGCGUCAUCCCCAAGCACAUCACCUCCAACAACUCUCCAUACCCUAGCCUUCUCGAUUUCUAGAGCCCCGUGAGGUUGAGCCCGCCCUGGCCCCCACCCGCUCCACCUCCGACCCGCGCUCCACGUGGUCCUCCUCCUUGCGGCCGCCACUCGACCUCUAGCCCAUGGUCCUGCCAGAGAACGAUGAUGGGGACGAUGAUCGGCCAGUCGCGGAGCUCCUCAACGUGGCACUGGAGGGUGACCUCUCCCAUGUUAAGGGUAAGGCACUCGAUUGGUUCCAACGCUCGUCAAUUCGCUAGGGUUUUGGUCUUGAAUCUGACAUGGGUUUUGGUCGCUAUGUAUUUUUGGUGGGGUUUUGUGGUGACGUGCAGAGCUGGUGGAGAAGCUGAACAAGGAGGGGAAGGGCGUGG
RNAcentral lists this long non-coding RNA (2668 nucleotides) under Sorghum bicolor (sorghum). Its description in RNAcentral is "long non-coding RNA (SBIC_LNC011818)". The record is from RNAcentral. Lineage: Eukaryota; Viridiplantae; Streptophyta; Magnoliopsida; Poales; Poaceae.